Long non-coding RNA from Dermacentor silvarum, 480 nucleotides. RefSeq lists it as uncharacterized. The record is from RefSeq and is a predicted model, not a curated record. The transcript has 3 exons. NCBI's taxonomy places the organism in Eukaryota, Metazoa, Arthropoda, Arachnida, Ixodida, Ixodidae.
UCAUUGGAUGAAGGCAAAAGACUUAUUAUGUGUGACAUACGUUUUUCUGUUGUAGUACUGUCAGUUGUGUGCGCCACGCUUGUUGAGUUGACCGAUGAAAAACACCAUGUUGUCAUAGUUAGCAUCAAUUACGGUGGGGACUGCCUUUAUCAUGGACACUUUGUUGUUCAAGGCACGAUGUAUUAUCUUGAUACGCCUUGCGAACGAUGGUUGUGCGCCAACAGGAUCAAUUAUACAGACGGAUAUCUGCAUCGUUUCAGCUGCCCGGAACCCGAUCCACCAAAGCCGCUCUGCUGGCAUGAAGCAGGAAAGGGCAGGUACCCGAAAUGUUGCCUACAGGAAGUGUGCCCCGUCCAAGCAAAUAAUACGGCAGUCUCAAUGAGUCCUCUUCAUCAAGACAGUGCAUUGAAAGAUGGCGCCACAGGCAAACGAAUCAAGCGAUGAUGAAACACAAUUAUACCUUCACAAGGAAGCUCUACA